Molecule: ribosomal RNA, 468 nt
Filed under: uncultured bacterium
Lineage: Bacteria
Description: partial 16S ribosomal RNA
Rfam family: Bacterial small subunit ribosomal RNA
Source: RNAcentral
GACGAACGCUGGCGGCGUGCUUAACACAUGCAAGUCGAACGGAAAGGCCCUGCUUUUGUGGGGUGCUCGAGUGGCGAACGGGUGAGUAACACGUGAGUAACCUGCCCUUGACUUUGGGAUAACUUCAGGAAACUGGUGCUAAUACCGGAUAGGAGCUCCUGCUGCAUGGUGGGGGUUGGAAAGUUUCGGCGGUUGGGGAUGGACUCGCGGCUCAUCAGCUUGAUGGUGGGGUAGUGGCUUACCAAGGCUUUGACGGGUAGCCGGCCUGAGAGGGUGACCGGCCACAUUGGGACUGAGAUACGGCCCAGACUCCUACGGGAGGCAGCAGUGGGGAAUAUUGCACAAUGGGCGGAAGCCUGAUGCAGCAACGCCGCGUGCGGGAUGACGGCCUUCGGGUUGUAAACCGCUUUCGCCUGAGACGAAGCGUUAGUGACGGUAAUGGGUAAAGAAGCACCGGCUAACUACGUG